GUAGGGUGCAAGCGUUAAUCGGAAUUACUGGGCGUAAAGCGUGCGCAGGCGGUUCGCUAAGACAGAUGUGAAAUCCCCGGGCUUAACCUGGGAACUGCAUUUGUGACUGGCGGGCUAGAGUAUGGCAGAGGGGGGUAGAAUUCCACGUGUAGCAGUGAAAUGCGUAGAGAUGUGGAGGAAUACCGAUGGCGAAGGCAGCCCCCUGGGCCAAUACUGACGCUCAUGCACGAAAGCGUGGGGAGCAAACAGGAUUAGAUACCCUGGUAGUCCACGCCCUAAACGAUGUCGACUAGUUGUUGGGGAUUCAUUUCCUUAGUAACGUAGCUAACGCGUGAAGUUGACCGCCUGGGGAGUACGGUCGCAAGAUUA
Molecule: ribosomal RNA, 369 nt
Filed under: uncultured bacterium
Lineage: Bacteria
Description: bacterial SSU rRNA
Rfam family: Bacterial small subunit ribosomal RNA
Source: RNAcentral